This 223-nucleotide ribosomal RNA is filed under the name uncultured bacterium. RNAcentral describes it as "partial 16S ribosomal RNA". It matches the Rfam family "Bacterial small subunit ribosomal RNA", at positions 1269 to 1500 of the family's 1533-position model. The record is from RNAcentral.
CGAUCUCGAAAACCUGUCCCAGUUCGGACUGGAGUCUGCAACCCGACUCCACGAAGUUGGAUUCGCUAGUAAUCGCGCAUCAGCCAUGGCGCGGUGAAUACGUUCCCGGGCCUUGUACACACCGCCCGUCAAGCCAUGGGAGCCGGGGGCNCCUGAAGUCCGGGACCGCGAGGACCGGCCUAAGGCGAAACUGGUGACUGGGGCUAAGUCGUAACAAGGUAUC